AGCGAUUCUUUGAUAACUGGAACGUGGAUGAAGUUUUGAGCCCAUUCAUGAAGGGAUGGGAACCUUUCUCUGUCAAACACAUUCAUUUCUCCCACUUCAUCCAGAACACUGAGCCAGUGGCAAAUCCAACCUGCAGCUAAAUCUAGGACUCGGAAGCAGCAAAAAUGCAUGAAAAAUGAAGUUAAUAGCAAAAGAACUAUGGUUACCUUCUCGUCUAAAAACUUAGCCCAGAAGCGAGCAUUGGCUCUGUCAUAUGGAUCUUCAGGCAAUAUCGGGUUCUCCUUCCACGUCUCGUCGAUGUAUUCAAUAAUGAGAAGCGACUCGGAGAUGGCUUUGUCAUUGUGCAAAAGCACAGGUAUUUUCUUGUAUACAGGGUUGGACUUGAGAAGUAGCUCACUUUUGUUUCUCAAGUCUUCAACUAUGUACUCAUACUCAAUUCCUUUGAGCUUCAAGGCCCAUUCGACCCUUACGGAGAAUAGGCUUGCAGCUGAUCCAAUAAUCUUUACCUCUGCCAUUGUUUGUGAUAUUUGAUAUCUCCUCUAGCUCAAGUUUCUUGCCUUUUAUAGUCUGUGACUCUGUGUUGCUUAUGCUAUUAUUAUUUUGGCUAAUUUUGACCUUUCAAA
Molecule: long non-coding RNA, 623 nt
Organism: Cucumis melo (muskmelon)
Lineage: Eukaryota; Viridiplantae; Streptophyta; Magnoliopsida; Cucurbitales; Cucurbitaceae
Exons: 2
Source: RefSeq, a predicted model, not a curated record